GCUUGGCUCGUCACCCCUUCACCCGGUGCGCCUGGGCCGUGUCCGGGCCCACGCCGGACCCGCCGGCACCUCGAUCUUGCGCGUGGCCCCGCACCCAGCCCUCCCCGGAGCUCAGGUGCACUGGGCCGGGAGACACCGCUGGGCUGCGCGGCGUGGGAAGAGCCUGCAGAGCGCGUGGUGGGGACCUGGUGGCAGGAGGAACAGCAUCAGCCCUGGUCGCACCACUUUCCCCGCUCCCCCAACCCAGGAGGCUGCCUCCAGGGAAGACCUGGGGUCCUUCCUGCACUCAGCGCUGGCUGGCUGUCCUGUUCAUGCAGUGGAAGACAUUACAGAAGAAUUCAUACGAGAAGAACAUGAAGCCUGUGGAGAGGGCAGCCUUCAGCAAGCUGGGGGACAGGCCCUUGAAGAAGCCCAGGGCGCCUUCCUUUUGCAGCACCUGCUUGGCACAGUCCAUGAGGCCCUUGUAUCUCCGUACCUGGGGAGAGGAAAGGGAUGAAAAUAUGGAUGCCCGCUCUGCUCCCAUCAACACAGCCCCUGGCACAUCACAGAUCUUAAGAAGUACUUGCUGGACAAAGAAAUGAAUGCAAAAUAGCAAAUUAUUUUAUUUUUUCGUUGAGGCAGAGUCUCACUCUGUUGCCCAGGCUGGAAUGCAGUGGCACAAUCUUGGCUCACUGCAGCCUCUGCCUCCCAGGUUCAAGUGAUUCUCCUGCCUCAGCCUCCUGAGUAGCUGGGAUUACAGGCACACAACACCACGCCUGGCUAAUUUUUUGUAUUUUUAGUAGAGAUGCAGUUUCGCCAUGUUGGCCAGGCUGGUCUUGAACUCCUGACCUCAGGUGAUCCACCUGCUUCAGCCUCCCAAUGUGCUGGGAUUACAGGCAUGGACAACCAUGCCCAGCUCAAAAUAGCAAAUAAAUUAAUUUCAUUCUUUCUACUGUAAUUGGGUUAAGACUGAACAGAUGACAGGCCUAGAAAUCAGAAGCUGGACAGCGCUCCUUCCUGCCCAGGAAGAACGGCUGCCUGUGGCUCCAAAGGAUCCAGCAAUGGCUCCAGAACCUCUUCCCAGAGGCAUCUCUGACCCUUCAUCCCAUCCCACCUGAUCCCCCUUGGGCAGCAGAUCUGAACCUGGCCCUCAGUAGCUCUCAGCCGGGCCUCCCUGCCUCCAGCCUCACCCUCUCCAGCUGACCUCACACACUGCUGCCAGACAUUCAUCCCCAGGCACAACCCUCCUCAAGCCUGGCUUCCCUCCAAAAGCUGCAGUAACUCCUAGUGACGACAUCAUGAGAAAUCAAGUCCAAACCCCAAGAUCUGCCGUUUAAGGCACUGCACCAUUUGGCCUUGAUUUCCCUCCCUGAUCUGACCUCCACUGGUCCUCCCACGUGCCCUUCCCACCUCUGGCCAAACUGGAUUACACUAGUCUUUGUUAGCAGUAAGGCCUCCCUCUGCCAUCCUGGGCUCUCACCAUCGGCUCCCUGUCCAAAUUCAAACUGUCCCUUCAUGCUGGGUGCAGUGGUGCAUGCCUGCAGUCCCAGCUACUUGGGAGGCUGAGAGGGGAGGAUCGCUUGAGCCCAGGAGUUCGAGACCAGCCCAGGCAACAGAGCGAUAUCCCAUUUAAAAAAAGAAAGAAAGAAAAGAAAACAAACUCUCCCUUCAGGACAAGUUGGUAAGUGGAAAAGGGAGGUUACAAACCUUGUAUACAGUGUAUCCGUAUUUUUGUUAAAAUGUACAUGUGUAUUUAUGAAAAGAAAUAAAACUACACUGAAAGGU
Molecule: long non-coding RNA, 1764 nt
Filed under: Homo sapiens (human)
Lineage: Eukaryota; Metazoa; Chordata; Mammalia; Primates; Hominidae
Description: HSALNT0391711
Source: RNAcentral